UUUUUAUUGGAUGAUGACUGUCACGUGUCAUGUUCUGAUUGGAUGUUAAUUCCAUGAAAGAUGAAAAUACAUUGUUGUUUUCAUUGACCAAUCAGAACAUGACACGUGACAACCAUCAUCC
This is a non-coding RNA of Glycine soja, 121 nucleotides long. Lineage: Eukaryota; Viridiplantae; Streptophyta; Magnoliopsida; Fabales; Fabaceae. The record is from Rfam.